UUACGCUGCCGUGAUUCGAGCUUAUAAUCCGCUGCCCCCUAAUUUCUAUCACCGUGUCUUCUGCCCUAUGGUGGAGGAUAACCCCGGGAAACUGGGGAUAAUACUCCAUAAGUCAGGAGUACUGGAAUGUCUCCUAACUGAAAGUUGCGGCGCCAUAGGAUGAAUCUGCGGCCGAUUAGGUAGUUGUUGGGGUAACGGCCCAACUUGUUUGUAAUCGGUACGGGUUGUGGGAGCAAGAGCCCGGAGAUGGAAUCUGAGACACGAUUCCAGGCCCUACCCCACCACACGCAGGCGCGAAAACUUUACAAUGCAGGAAACUUCUUUUUAUGGGAACCCCGAGUGCCCGUACACGCGGGCUGUCCCGGUGUUUAUAACACAUCGGAAGAAAGGGCCGGGCAAGACCGGUGCCAGCCGCCGCGGUAAUACCGGCGGCUCGAGUGGUGACCACUUUUAUUGGGCUUAAAGCGUUCGUAGCUUGAUUUUUAAGUCUCUUGGGAAAUCUUACGGCUUAACUGUGAGGCGUCUAAGAGAUACUGGGAAUCUAGGGACCGGGAGAGGUAAGAGGUACUUCAGGGGUAGAGUGAAAUUCUGUAUCCUUGAGGGACCACCGAUGCGAGCAUCUUACAGACCGCUUCGACAGUGAGACGAGCUGGGGAGCGAACGGGAUAGAUACCCGUAGUCCAGCGUAACUAAUGCGCGUUUAGGUGUGUCUGU
RNAcentral lists this ribosomal RNA (714 nucleotides) under uncultured archaeon. RNAcentral describes it as "bacterial SSU rRNA". It matches the Rfam family "Archaeal small subunit ribosomal RNA", at positions 44 to 781 of the family's 1478-position model. The record is from RNAcentral.